AACGGAAGAUGGGAGCUUGCUCCCUGAUGUCAGCGGCGGACGGGUGAGUAACACGUGGGUAACCUGCCUGUAAGACUGGGAUAACUCCGGGAAACCGGGGCUAAUACCGGAUGCUUGAUUGAACCGCAUGGUUCAAUUAUAAAAGGUGGCUUUUAGCUACCACUUACAGAUGGACCCGCGGCGCAUUAGCUAGUUGGUGAGGUAACGGCUCACCAAGGCAACGAUGCGUAGCCGACCUGAGAGGGUGAUCGGCCACACUGGGACUGAGACACGGCCCAAACUCCUACGGGAGGCAGCAGUAGGGAAUCUUCCGCAAUGGACGAAAGUCUGACGGAGCAACGCCGCGUGAGUGAUGAAGGUUUUCGGAUCGUAAAACUCUGUUGUUAGGGAAGAACAAGUACCGUUCGAAUAGGGCGGUACCUUGACGGUACCUAACCAGAAAGCCACGGCUAACUACGUGCCAGCAGCCGCGGUAAUACGUAGGUGGCAAGCGUUGUCCGGAAUUAUUGGGCGUAAAGCGCGCGCAGGCGGUUUCUUAAGUCUGAUGUGAAAGCCCCCGGCUCAACCGGGGAGGGUCAUUGGAAACUGGGGAACUUGAGUGCAGAAGAGGAGAGUGGAAUUCCACGUGUAGCGGUGAAAUGCGUAGAGAUGUGGAGGAACACCAGUGGCGAAGGCGACUCUCUGGUCUGUAACUGACGCUGAGGCGCGAAAGCGUGGGGAGCGAACAGGAUUAGAUACCCUGGUAGUCCACGCCGUAAACGAUGAGUGCUAAGUGUUAGAGGGUUUCCGCCCUUUAGUGCUGCAGCAAACGCAUUAAGCACUCCGCCUGGGGAGUACGGUCGCAAGACUGAAACUCAAAGGAAUUGACGGGGGCCCGCACAAGCGGUGGAGCAUGUGGUUUAAUUCGAAGCAACGCGAAGAACCUUACCAGGUCUUGACAUCCUCUGAAAACCCUAGAGAUAGGGCUUCCCCUUCGGGGGCAGAGUGACAGGUGGUGCAUGGUUGUCGUCAGCUCGUGUCGUGAGAUGUUGGGUUAAGUCCCGCAACGAGCGCAACCCUUG
Molecule: ribosomal RNA, 1061 nt
Filed under: Bacillus licheniformis
Lineage: Bacteria; Bacillati; Bacillota; Bacilli; Caryophanales; Bacillaceae
Description: bacterial SSU rRNA
Rfam family: Bacterial small subunit ribosomal RNA
Source: RNAcentral